RNAcentral lists this ribosomal RNA (809 nucleotides) under uncultured bacterium. RNAcentral's name for it is "bacterial SSU rRNA". It matches the Rfam family "Bacterial small subunit ribosomal RNA", at positions 8 to 796 of the family's 1533-position model. The record is from RNAcentral.
AGAGUUUGAUCCUGGCUCAGAAUCAACGCUGGCGGCGUGCCUAACACAUGCAAGUCGAACGCGAAAGUGGAGCAAUCCAUGAGUAGAGUGGCAAACGGGUGAGUAACACGUGGGUGACCUGCCUUCGAGCGGGGGAUAACGUCCCGAAAGGGACGCUAAUACCGCAUGACAUCCUGUCUUUUAAGAGAUGGAGAUCAAAGCUGGGGAUCGCAAGACCUAGCACUCGAAGAGGGGCCCGCGCCUGAUUAGCUAGUUGGUGAGGUAACGGCUCACCAAGGCGACGAUCAGUAUCCGGCCUGAGAGGGCGGACGGACACACUGGGACUGAGACACGGCCCAGACUCCUACGGGAGGCAGCAGUGGGGAAUUGUUCGCAAUGGGCGCAAGCCUGACGACGCAACGCCGCGUGGAGGAUGAAGAUCUUCGGGUCGUAAACUCCUUUCGAUCGAGACGAACGGCUUCCGGGUGAACAAUCCGGGAGAGUGACGGUACCGAGAGAAGAAGCCCCGGCUAACUCCGUGCCAGCAGCCGCGGUAAUACGGGGGGGGCAAGCGUUGUUCGGAAUUACUGGGCGUAAAGGGCUCGUAGGCGGCCAACUAAGUCAGACGUGAAAUCCCUCGGCUUAACCGGGGAACUGCGUCUGAUACUGGAUGGCUAGAGGUUGGGAGAGGGAUGCGGAAUUCCAGGUGUAGCGGUGAAAUGCGUAGAUAUCUGGAGGAACACCGGUGGCGAAGGCGACAUCCUGGACCAAUUCUGACGCUGAGGAGCGAAAGCCAGGGGAGCAAACGGGAUUAGAUACCCUAGUAGUCC